RNAcentral lists this ribosomal RNA (811 nucleotides) under Neooccultibambusa jonesii. RNAcentral's name for it is "eukaryotic LSU rRNA". It matches the Rfam family "Eukaryotic large subunit ribosomal RNA", at positions 92 to 921 of the family's 3401-position model. The record is from RNAcentral. Lineage: Eukaryota; Fungi; Ascomycota; Dothideomycetes; Pleosporales; Occultibambusaceae.
AGUGAAGCGGCAACAGCUCAAAUUUGAAAUCUGGCUCUUUCAGGGUCCGAGUUGUAAUUUGUAGAGGGUGCUUUGGCGUUGGCUGCGGUCUAAGUUCCUUGGAACAGGACGUCAUGGAGGGUGAGAAUCCCGUAUGUGGCUGACAGUCUUCGCCGUGUAAAGCCCCUUCGACGAGUCGAGUUGUUUGGGAAUGCAGCUCUAAAUGGGAGGUAAAUUUCUUCUAAAGCUAAAUAUUGGCCAGAGACCGAUAGCGCACAAGUAGAGUGAUCGAAAGAUGAAAAGCACUUUGGAAAGAGAGUCAAAAAGCACGUGAAAUUGUUGAAAGGGAAGCGCUUGCAGCCAGACUUGCCUGUAGUUGCUCAUCCGGGCUCUUGCCCGGUGCACUCUUCUGCAAGCAGGCCAGCAUCAGUUCGAGCGGCCGGAUAAAGACCUCUGUCACGUAUCUUCCUUCGGGAUGACCUUAUAGGGGAGGUGUAAUGCGGCCAGCUCGGAUUGAGGUCCGCGCAUCUGCUAGGAUGCUGGCGUAAUGGCUGUAAGCGGCCCGUCUUGAAACACGGACCAAGGAGUCUAACAUCUAUGCGAGUGUUUGGGUGUCAAGCCCGAGCGCGCAAUGAAAGUGAACGGAGGUGGGAACCCCUCGGGGCGCACCAUCGACCGAUCCUGAUGUCUUCGGAUGGAUUUGAGUAAGAGCAUAGCUGUUGGGACCCGAAAGAUGGUGAACUAUGCCUGAAUAGGGUGAAGCCAGAGGAAACUCUGGUGGAGGCUCGCAGCGGUUCUGACGUGCAAAUCGAUCGUCAAAUUUGGGCAUAGG